Harpia harpyja (harpy eagle) is the source of this 2552-nucleotide long non-coding RNA. RefSeq lists it as uncharacterized. Lineage: Eukaryota; Metazoa; Chordata; Aves; Accipitriformes; Accipitridae. The record is from RefSeq and is a predicted model, not a curated record. The transcript is spliced from 3 exons.
AGGGCAAACACCUGUACUGUGUCUUAAUUUACUGUGAGGGCAGUGCAGGUGGAAGCAGAGUGCAGUGGUUAUUCAUGAGCUGCUUGGAUGCUUGGUUAUAGGUGCAGUUUUUAGGUGAGCUUGUAGCGUUGCAAGAAGGGGCCUGCUGGUGGAGAGGUGGUGUUGUUUGGGAGGCUCAUUCUGGAGGAGCAGGUGUUUGUGCUGGGUUUCUGUUUGGUGUGAGGGCACAGGCAGCAGGCAGGUGGUUGUGCAGCAGCUGUGGUGCUCAUGAGCCAAGUGAAGGACAGUUCAUGGCAAUCCAGUUUGUUUACUUCAAUGAAACCAGAAUUUUAAGAAGGAGUCUGAGGGCAGAAGAGGUGAUUCAUUUCUCCAGGAGACAGAGAGUGUAGUCACCAAAGAAAAAAGGACCAUGAGAAAUUUUACUCUAUAUAAGGUAACUGUUUGCUAUAAUGCACUCACAAUGUCUCCAAAGUUUUAACCAGAAGAAAGAGGCAGUGCACAAAAGAAUCGGGUGCUCAGGUCAUACCUGUUUGUAGAGGCGAAGGACAUCAAGACAUUUCACAAAGCAUGUUUUCAGUCACUCGAAGAAAAACUCUGGUGGGAAUCUGAUAUGAAGAAGAGUUGAAAAUAUGUACCCAGAUGCGUUGAUAGCCAAAUUAUUGUGUGUUCCAUGUUGGCUUCAUAAAAGAUGUAGAGCAAAUGCAGUCUGCAAAGAAUUUGCUUUCUGUGUCAGUAUACUUGUUAUUAAAGGAGGGUAUUUUAUGGCAUGGAACUGGUCUUUGAUCAGCAUGGAGAAGAAAAGUCUUCAGGACACCUAAUAGCAGCCUUCCGAAACGAAAGAUGACGCUGAGCUGUUUGGAAGUACGUGAUGGGAGGAUGCCAGUGGGCGCAAACAGAAGUGAGAGACAUUCUAACUGGGCAUGAGGAGAAAACUCUUCACCAAGAGGACAGUCAAGCAGUGGAGCAGGUUGCCUGGAGAGGUUGUAGUCUGCCUCCUUGGAGUCUUUCAGACCUGACUUGCUGCAGCUACACAACUAUUUUGGUAACGUACCAUACCAGUACUCUUACACUGGUAAAAUAAUUCUGUUGUCGAUGUUGCUGAAAUUGCUCCCUCCCUUACCUGGUUUCAUCAGUUGUUUAUUUUCAGUUUGUUUGUUAUACUAUGUAGCAGUUCAACUUUAUCGUAUUUGGGGAUAGUCUCCACUGUGUGGACUGUAUAGCAUUCCUGGUCGUCUAGCAGGUAUGUAUGUUUUACCUUGCUUUCUACAGCAUCAACUUACACUUGCUAAUCUUUCAGAAAUUAGUUCAGUUUAAUUUUUAUGCACUUUUAAAUAGCAUAUUCAGUGUGUGGUAUUUUCUAGCAUUUUAUAGGUUUUUUAAAACAUUUUACAAUGUAUGAACAUUAUAUUAUGAUUGUUAUUACAUUCACCAUCAUCUUUGCUGAGGUGCAGUUUUACGCUGAUCACCUUUGAAGCCCUAGCCAUUGCAGAUGACAUUAGGCAGGUUUUAUUCCAUUUGAGUUUUAGUUUUGCUGACUUUGGCAUCAUUCAAACCGAUAACAUGAUACACCAAUGUGUUGAAAAUAUGAGCAUUUUCUUUAAACACACCUGACAUCCAUAGGGUAGACUUUUAAAUAAAUCUAAAGCAUUGAUUUUUGUUGUUACUAGCUAUGUUGUCCUUCACAACAGGGGCUCUAUAGAUAUAUCUGUACUCCAUGUGACUGCUGUUAGAAUCGGACUGCUUCUGUACAUAAAGCAGGUCUGCAAGCAUGGCCUUGGUACCCCUUCUUGUAUGAGAGAGAGAGAGCAGGUCUGAAUGAUACUAAUAAUUGAUAAAGUGGUUUUUGAAAUAUAAGCAAUUACAAGUUAGGCGAGGCAUUGCUAAGCAACUUCAAAACUUGUUUCAGUCCUACUUUUCCCAUUCCAGUCUUCCAGUUUUCAAAAAAAUAAUGUUCUUACAUGUAGUUAGAACAUUCCCUUAAAACCUGGAGAUUGCUCAGCUGGCUUCCUGCAAAACUAUCACAUUACCUCUAGGCAAAUGUCAUUAAACUGAGCACAGGGCUUUGCUUUCCUCAGCUAGAAAACAUUGUGAAUAGCUUGCUUCCUACCUUGAAUAUGAUUGAGUAGGAAAUAAUUAUAUGUCCAUUUUUGUAGGGUGAUUUAGAUUGCCCAGGAAAAAGGUGAUACAGUGAAAUCAAAUGUAAGGUUACACUUGCAGAAACAAAUACUGCAGGGCUAAGCUUACUGAGCGGUAUACAGCGUUUUGGAAAGCUGUAACGCUUUAAGAGAGGUAGCUGAUAGCUUCACGCACAGUGUGAUGGCCUAAAAAAGAUGGGGCUUAACAGAAAGAAAUACUAAGUGACAGUAAUGUAGCUGUGUUACUACUUUAUGAGGUAUUGAUGGUAUAACUAUGUCAUUAUGUUAGCAGAAUGCUUGGAUGGUAGAAGCUUUCUAAUUUAUGUCAGUGAGCAGGAAUUGUUCCGGAAAAAAACCCAAAACAAACAAACAAACAAAGCCACCAUGAAACCACACUGCUUUGUAGUGAAAAACAGA